Dermacentor andersoni is the source of this 1733-nucleotide non-coding RNA. The record is from RefSeq and is a predicted model, not a curated record. NCBI's taxonomy places the organism in Eukaryota, Metazoa, Arthropoda, Arachnida, Ixodida, Ixodidae.
UUCAACUCUUGAAAAUCACGAUUACAACAAGCUGCUUUCAAGAAAAGAACGAGAAACAUCUUUUUUUUUUCUAUUUUGUGUUGCGCCUUGCCUCCAAGCGGCCGGUGGCAGAAGCUGAAACUGGACGUCAUGACACCCUCACGCGCGCGCGCAGCCAAGGCCAGCCAAAGCCGUCGCAGUCUUUCCGGACUGUCGGUCACUUGCAGCGUUUGUUUACCGCUAUCGCCGAUCUUCGCUCGUGGUCCGUCUGAAACGUUAUCCCCGUCGGCGCUCCACGCAGGUAGUGCGUCUUACACGUAUGUUCCCACGGUCGUCGAUUGGUAUCGACGCAUUCGUCGCGGUGGAAGGAAAUGCCCAGACACUGCUCCGCCCAAGGCUGUAUAACAGCAUCGUUGGUCGUGACUCGCCGUCACACACGUUUCCCAGAGACGAGAAGGUGCGUAAACUUUGGAUACGUGCCUGUCAGCCACCACGCCCAGCCUGGAAACCUCUAAAAAAUGACUUCAUUUGCGCGGACCACUUCAUCUACGAUGAUUAUGCGACAAGCCCGGCUUUGCUGAAAAGCCUCGGCAUGCCGCUCAAAAGGCAACGCCUAAAGCCUGACGUUGUGCCCUCGGUCUUCUCACGCAAACGCAAGGCAGGAAGGAUCAGCGGCGCGUUUGAAAAGAGGUGGCGAAAAGAGAUCAUUGAUCAAAUAUUGCAAGAACAACCUACCACAGAAAACGCCUGCCACACAGAAGCUGUUCACAUCCAAAGACCACAGUGCGAUGCUUGCGAAAUGCAUACACCUCCAAUUGAUCAUGUUCCCUUUGAAGAAGUCACCCAAGCAGUUUUACUGUGAACGCAGUGCAGAGGCAUGUACAAAUAGCAGGCAGAACAGUGAGUGUGAGGCACAUCAGGAAAAAAUGCCCUGCAGCAUUUCUCCAGCAAUUUACAGCUGAACCUCAUGCCGCCAAUGAAAGACAAAUUACAGCAAAACCACUUCAGGCUGAUGCAGCUGUUCAGACAUCAUUAAUCUGUAGAGACUGGGCAACACAGGUUACCAUCCACGGGGACCCAUGUAAUAUUUAAACUAGCUCCUUUAUGCCACGACGGUCUUCGACACCAUUGCCAGAAUGGAGGGAUGCAUCUGAAGAGGAAAUGGAUGAAACUGAAGACAGAAAUCCAAAUGAUCCUUCCUAUGUCCCCUCGGAUGUCAGUUUGGAUCAGCUAUGUGAAAGAAUUGCUGAAGUGUGCUGUGGACCUGUGCCAGAAUGUGAGCUCCUACAGGGAGGCAUUGGCGCGUACAAGUGUGAACGUGCCCCCUCCAAUUUCAAGCAACUUUGAACGGGCUGACAAAGAAGCUCUCGUGCCAGCACAUACAAGGCGCUUUAAUAUUUUACUAACACUGCAGUAGUUACUGAACAAGACAUGUCAUUCUGAGAAGAAAACUCUGGGUGUUUAUUCAGGAGAAACUGCCAUCAUGCGUCAAGGUAGCCGGUGUAAUGCCCUCCUGGCGUAGAGAACUGUUUCUUGAUCCUGUGGCCAGCACAGCUUGGCAAAACAACCCGGUUAUCUUGGCCAAGUCGCCUGUACACAUACCAAACAAUCGGUAGGCAGUGUAUCGGUAUUGGCUGCAAAAAAAGAAACACACACACACAACAAUAUAGAUUCAGAAAUUCACUGCGUGUUGUUCUAUUACGUGCCAUGCACUGUUCGUUUGGAUUCAUCUAGCAAAUAAAACGAGCCCUCGA